UAUACCAGAGAACUAAUCCCGUCAAGUUGAAGAAUAGAUGGAUGAAGGCAACCUGGAGGGGACAAAAAGAUAUUAGUAUUAAGUUCAAAACAACUGCCUGAAACCUAAAAUGCAAGCUGUUCUAGUCUGAGAAUGCCAUUUAAUACAUCUGUCACACGUGCUGUACCUGAACAGAAUUGCUGAGGGCUUCAGCAGGACUGGCUAGAGCUGCCAACACAGCAGUAGUGGUGGUUCCGAUGUUGGACCCCAAGAACAAUGGGUACGCUCUUUCCAUGCUAAUGACUCCCACACCUGUGAAAUGAUAGACACUUAUGAAAAUAUCCAGAGGUUUGGUGUAAUCAUGUAGGGGUAAUGUCAUAAAAGACACUAAGUUUUCCCAGGAGCAGUAACCCAUAGCAACCAAUCUGCAGGUAGAAUUUACUGGUCACCUGUUUAAAAGCAAAUAUCUUAUUGGUUACUAUGGGUUACUGCUCCUGGGCAAACUUCAGCAUUCCAGAGUAAUUAUUUCAGUUGCGCAUGAGUUUCUUGGCACAAACUGUAGCAUGUGUGGGUGCAAUGCACGAGGGCAGCCCUGUAGGUAAUGCCUGACCAAGACUUGUGCAUGCUCGGUCUCAGUCAUAGUACAAUGUACAAAUGCGUUAUGUACAGUGCCUAGCAAUGCCCCUGAGAAUCAUAAAUGAGGCCUCGUCACUUGGGUAAGUGAUUAAAUGGCAAUAAUGAGUGAGACUAUAUAUUAUUAACUUUUAGUGUGACAGUUAAUGAUCUACGAGGCAGUUAUUCUUAUCGUCUACAGAAAAUAAUGACAAUCUUUUUACAUUCCAGACAUCUGACUACCUCCCACCCCAGUGAAGUGCAACAGAGAUUUAUGGAUUAAAUAUUGUCCUGCUGGUGUUAAAGCAGGUCAUCUUUGUAGCUGUGAUUCCUGUGCCUGGAGAUCUGCAUUCUUACCCAUCACUGACAGACCAAUCGAAUGUCUAUGUUAAAUCUAAAGGCUGCAGUGUCCUUUGAUAACCAUGCUGCUCUCAAUGCAAAGGUUCUAUAACGAGAACAAAGCUCAGCACAGAACCAGGAAGUAGAUUAGAGCAAGAUGGCGGCACAGAACCAGGAAGUGAGAGGAAGUUGGAUGAAGUUCUGUUUAUAGCCACCCGUCGUGUUUUCUGCUUUGAAGCCGCACAUCCAUUUAAGAGAAAUCAGCCCUGAACACGACUGUCAGCAGGCAGGAGUCCUGCCAAAAAGUCGCAUCUCCUUCAGGCAGAACCAUGAAACAUAGAAAGAAAGAGCUGUCGGGCCCUGCGGUGAGAGGGGCCACAAGUCUGCACACUGACUCUGAGCCUCGGAUUGCAGAACCUGCCCCCCUCACUGUGUUUGGAAACCAGCAUGGUAGCAUACGUAUCACAUGUAUUAUAUGCAAGAGGAAAUCCUGCCUCCCUGCAAACCCGGGACAUGUUACAGAGGGAGGCUCAGUGAGGAGAGAAGAGAAAUGAAAUUUACACAGAAGCCCCCCCGUCUCUAUUAAACAUGCUGCUCUUUUAAUGAAAGGUUUUCCCUGUGUCUCCUUGAGAAUCUUGCCUGAACGGUGCAUAAUUGAUGUGAGUUUGCCUUUAAUAUCCUGUUCCCCGACUCCAUCCCAGCACCACCGCCAAAGUGCCGUCCAAUCUAAUAAAGGGGCCCUGGAAUGUUCAUUUUAAUAAAGAGAGUAAUGCAAGUGGGGAGGGGAGCACAGGGGCCCCCGUUAGUCCUUCCUCCAAAGUGGCAGUUUGUGUAUAAAUGUGUGUAUAUAGGCAGCUGUGUGGGGGUAUAACUGGGGCACAAGGGGUAUGGGGUACAUGCACACACAACUCAAAGAGGCAGUUGUUGGCACAGUACCCAGGGCAGGAGUCAGGGCCACUGAUGAGUUAUUGUGUUUCUACCAACUGAAUGGGAUGGGUGGCAUCUCAGAUAUUAAACCUAAUACCCAACUUAGCAGCUAAAAAUAAUACUGGCACCAAUAGCUACUGCAGUGCACCUGCCUGGAUUCUACAGAGUCCUGUGGCAAAUUUGCCCCAAAAACUUCACCUAACCCACCCAGCUGACGCUCCUGACGUUACCCUGCAUGCGGCACAGUACCUGUAUUACUCACCAGCCGGGUGCCCUGCUAAAUCACUACACUGGCAUUAGCAUGAACCCCCUCUGUGCCAGUCUAUGCCCUCCCAAAAUAACCUUUAUAACAGGAAGAUGGUGCCUUCAAAUGGUUAAACGGAUUUAUGAUGUCGUCUUUAUUGCUAAAUGACACUGUUAACACUGCAAAUAAUUCACUGUACAAUAUAAAAUGUCAUUCCUGAACCAGC
Xenopus laevis (African clawed frog) is the source of this 2327-nucleotide long non-coding RNA. RefSeq lists it as uncharacterized. The record is from RefSeq and is a predicted model, not a curated record. Lineage: Eukaryota; Metazoa; Chordata; Amphibia; Anura; Pipidae. The transcript is spliced from 7 exons.